Molecule: long non-coding RNA, 675 nt
Filed under: Gallus gallus (chicken)
Lineage: Eukaryota; Metazoa; Chordata; Aves; Galliformes; Phasianidae
Description: lncRNA (ENSGALG00010026563.1)
Source: RNAcentral
UGGGCAUGGGUCUGGCUCCGUGGGCUGCUGGUGGUAAAUGGCUUACCAGCAGUGCAAGGCUGAGGAGCUGCACGUUGGGUGCCUUGGAGCAUAAGGGAGCUGCUACAAUCAGAGGGCGUCUGCUGGUAAGAUCGGAUUGCAAGACCAAGCUCAUCUGGCUUUCCCUAACAGGAAGAGUGGCAGGAUGCCCGUGCUGUCCUCUUCCCUGUGGUUUAUUGUCCAAUCAUAUAAGAAAGUUCUGAAGGAGCAACUGGAAUGAGCCUUCAAGCUGACCAUCCGACCUUCUUCCCAUGCAAACCAUGGUCCUCUGCUUCACCAAAGGAACAGCUGCGUUUGGAGCUUCUCUGACUUCACCUGGAGGGCCACAGUGCACUGGGGCUAUCGACUGGACUCUUCCUCUUGUCCUGGCACAGCUCAGUGGAUACCAGUCCCAGUCCUGCCUUUUUCACCAGGGCUCACCUGAAGGCUGCAGGAAGCUCGCAUCUGUCCACUGGAUUCUUCUUGUGGUGGUGCAGAGGCUCAGAGGACCCAGUCUCAGUCUUUCCCAUUUCCUCAGAGCUUGGGAAAGAAGAGCUUCCUCUGUAGGGUAUGUGGACCUUCCUGGUUUUGCAGUUUGGGGGAUAGCGCUGUGUGAACGUGAGGACUUCUCAGCAGUCGCAAUUCUGCUUAAAAGGC